Molecule: ribosomal RNA, 468 nt
Filed under: uncultured bacterium
Lineage: Bacteria
Description: partial 16S ribosomal RNA
Rfam family: Bacterial small subunit ribosomal RNA
Source: RNAcentral
GACGAACGCUGGCGGCGUGCUUAACACAUGCAAGUCGAACGGAAAGGCCCUGCUUGCAGGGUGCUCGAGUGGCGAACGGGUGAGUAACACGUGGGCGAUCUGCCCCUUACUUUGGGAUAAGCCUGGGAAACUGGGUCUAAUACUGGAUAGGACCAUGCUGUAGGUGGUGUGGUGGAAAGAUUAGUUUCGGUAAGGGAUGAGCUCGCGGCCUAUCAGCUUGUUGGUGGGGUAAUGGCCUACCAAGGCGUCGACGGGUAGCCGGCCUGAGAGGGUGGACGGCCACAUUGGGACUGAGAUACGGCCCAGACUCCUACGGGAGGCAGCAGUGGGGAAUAUUGCACAAUGGGCGCAAGCCUGAUGCAGCGACGCCGCGUGGGGGAUGACGGCCUUCGGGUUGUAAACUCCUUUCAGCCAUGACGAAGCCCUUGUGGUGACGGUAGUGGUAGAAGAAGCACCGGCUAACUACGG